GACGAACGCUGGCGGCGUGCUUAACACAUGCAAGUCGAACGGAAAGGCCCUGCUUUUGUGGGGUGCUCGAGUGGCGAACGGGUGAGUAACACGUGAGUAACCUGCCCUCGACUUUGGGAUAACUUCAGGAAACUGGGGCUAAUACCGGAUAGGAGCUCCUGCUGCAUGGUGGGGGUUGGAAAGUUUCGGCGGUUGGGGAUGGACUCGCGGCUUAUCAGCUUGUUGGUGGGGUAGUGGCUUACCAAGGCUUUGACGGGUAGCCGGCCUGAGAGGGUGACCGGCCACAUUGGGACUGAGAUACGGCCCAGACUCCUACGGGAGGCAGCAGUGGGGAAUAUUGCACAAUGGGCGGAAGCCUGAUGCAGCAACGCCGCGUGCGGGAUGACGGCCUCCGGGUUGUAAACCGCUUUCGCCUGUGACGAAGCGUGAGUGACGGUAAUGGGUAAAGAAGCACCGGCUAACUACGUG
RNAcentral lists this ribosomal RNA (468 nucleotides) under uncultured bacterium. RNAcentral describes it as "partial 16S ribosomal RNA". It matches the Rfam family "Bacterial small subunit ribosomal RNA", at positions 28 to 507 of the family's 1533-position model. The record is from RNAcentral.